AGAAUGAACGCUGGCGGCGUGCUUAACACAUGCAGGUCGAACGGAAUACAAGGGAGCUUGCUCCUGAACUAUUUAGUGGCGAACGGGUGAGUAUCACGUGAGCAACCUGCCCCGAAGAUUGGGAUAACACCGGGAAACCGGUGCUAAUACCGAAUACCCCUCACACAUCGCAUGAUGAGUGAAGGAAAUGUUUUUUCGCUUCGGGAGGGCUCGCGGUCCAUCAGCUUGUUGGCGGGGUAACGGCCCACCAAGGCUACGACGGAUAGC
Molecule: ribosomal RNA, 267 nt
Filed under: uncultured bacterium
Lineage: Bacteria
Description: partial small subunit ribosomal RNA
Rfam family: Bacterial small subunit ribosomal RNA
Source: RNAcentral